GGGUAAGUCUGCCCUGCACUCUGGGAUAAGCCUGGGAAACUGGGUCUAAUACUGGAUAUGACCUUUCUCCUUAUGGGGUUUGGUGGAAAGUUUUCGGUGUAGGAUGAGCCCGCGGCCUAUCAGCUUGUUGGUGGGGUGAUGGCCUACCAAGGCGACGACGGGUAGCCGGCCUGAGAGGGUGAUCGGCCACAUUGGGACUGAGAUACGGCCCAG
RNAcentral lists this ribosomal RNA (213 nucleotides) under uncultured Actinomycetales bacterium. RNAcentral describes it as "partial 16S ribosomal RNA". It matches the Rfam family "Bacterial small subunit ribosomal RNA", at positions 119 to 334 of the family's 1533-position model. Lineage: Bacteria; Bacillati; Actinomycetota; Actinomycetes; Actinomycetales. The record is from RNAcentral.